CGUACACAAAAAUGCACAUGCUGUGAGCUCGAUGAGUAGGGCGGGACACGUGGUAUCCUGUCUGAAUAUGGGGGGACCAUCCUCCAAGGCUAAAUACUCCUGACUGACCGAUAGUGAACCAGUACCGUGAGGGAAAGGCGAAAAGAACCCCGGCGAGGGGAGUGAAAAAGAACCUGAAACCGUGUACGUACAAGCAGUGGGAGCACGCUUAGGCGUGUGACUGCGUACCUUUUGUAUAAUGGGUCAGCGACUUAUAUUCUGUAGCAAGGUUAACCGAAUAGGGGAGCCGAAGGGAAACCGAGUCUUAACUGGGCGUUAAGUUGCAGGGUAUAGACCCGAAACCCGGUGAUCUAGCCAUGGGCAGGUUGAAGGUUGGGUAACACUAACUGGAGGACCGAACCGACUAAUGUUGAAAAAUUAGCGGAUGACUUGUGGCUGGGGGUGAAAGGCCAAUCAAACCGGGAGAUAGCUGGUUCUCCCCGAAAGCUAUUUAGGUAGCGCCUCGUGAAUUCAUCUCCGGGGGUAGAGCACUGUUUCGGCAAGGGGGUCAUCCCGACUUACCAACCCGAUGCAAACUGCGAAUACCGGAGAAUGUUAUCACGGGAGACACACGGCGGGUGCUAACGUCCGUCGUGAAGAGGGAAACAACCCAGACCGCCAGCUAAGGUCCCAAAGUCAUGGUUAAGUGGGAAACGAUGUGGGAAGGCCCAGACAGCCAGGAUGUUGGCUUAGAAGCAGCCAUCAUUUAAAGAAAGCGUAAUAGCUCACUGGUCGAGUCGGCCUGCGCGGAAGAUGUAACGGGGCUAAACCAUGCAC
This 816-nucleotide ribosomal RNA is filed under the name Escherichia coli. RNAcentral describes it as "partial 23S ribosomal RNA". It matches the Rfam family "Bacterial large subunit ribosomal RNA", at positions 374 to 1194 of the family's 2925-position model. The record is from RNAcentral. Lineage: Bacteria; Pseudomonadati; Pseudomonadota; Gammaproteobacteria; Enterobacterales; Enterobacteriaceae.